Molecule: ribosomal RNA, 515 nt
Filed under: uncultured bacterium
Lineage: Bacteria
Description: partial 16S ribosomal RNA
Rfam family: Bacterial small subunit ribosomal RNA
Source: RNAcentral
UGGGGAAUCUUCCGCAAUGGACGAAAGUCUGACGGAGCAACGCCGCGUGAGUGAAGAAGGUUUUCGGAUCGUAAAACUCUGUCUUUUGGGGCGAACGUGAGUAUGGUGAACAAUCAUAGUCAGUGACGGUACCAAAGGAGGAAGCCACGGCUAACUACGUGCCAGCAGCCGCGGUAAUACGUAGGUGGCAAGCGUUGUCCGGAAUUAUUGGGCGUAAAGAGCGCGUAGGCGGGAUAGUCAGUCUGUUGUAAAAGUGCGGGGCUCAACCCCGUGAUCGCAAUGGAAAGCAGCUAUUCUUGAGUGCAGGAGAGGAAAGUGGAAUUCCCAAGUGUAGCGGUGAAAUGCGUAGAUAUUGGGAGGAACACCAGUGGCGAAGGCGACUUUCUGGACUGUGUCUGGACGCUGAGGCGCGAAAAGCCACGGGGAGCGAACGGGAUUAAGAUACCCCGGUAGUCCUGGCCGUGAAACGAUGGGUACUAGGUGUGGGAGGUAUCGACCCCUUCCGUGCCGGAGUU